CAAAGAUGGAAACAAGUGAAUUGAUAAAUGAAGCCUGAGAGCUGACUCUAGAAAAAUCGAAUAGAUAAUCUACUAACUUGUUAACCAAGAAGAAAUGUAAGAAAACACAAAUUCCCCUCAUAAGACUAGCCUUGGAUAAACCAGAAUUUACAGAGAACAAUUCUUACCAUUCUAAGUUAAAAGAGUUUGAAAACGUAGUUGAAGAAGCAGCCCGGGGGCACAGGCA
Molecule: long non-coding RNA, 226 nt
Filed under: Homo sapiens (human)
Lineage: Eukaryota; Metazoa; Chordata; Mammalia; Primates; Hominidae
Description: HSALNT0309738
Source: RNAcentral